CCUUAGUACUGGCUAUGGAUGAGUCAGUAUUGGAUGUUGAUAAGGUGGAUAACCUCAUUAAGUUUUGUCCGACCAAAGAGGAGAUGGAACUUUUGAAGGGUCUGUUUGGAAUUGGUUUCUAGAUGGGAGGGAAGGGAAAGGAAAGGGAGGGCUUGUGAGCCAUCUCACAAUUUUAUUUCAUGGCUCUGAAGCCUUUCCUUCCCUCUAUUGCCCUCCAGUAACCAACU
This is a non-coding RNA of Lupinus albus (white lupine), 227 nucleotides long. Lineage: Eukaryota; Viridiplantae; Streptophyta; Magnoliopsida; Fabales; Fabaceae. The record is from the annotation of a GenBank genome assembly.